Molecule: ribosomal RNA, 281 nt
Filed under: Pseudomonas aeruginosa
Lineage: Bacteria; Pseudomonadati; Pseudomonadota; Gammaproteobacteria; Pseudomonadales; Pseudomonadaceae
Description: partial 23S ribosomal RNA
Rfam family: Bacterial large subunit ribosomal RNA
Source: RNAcentral
CUUGGUGUUACUGCGAAGGGGGGACGGAGAAGGCUAUGUUAGCCGGGCGACGGUUGUCCCGGUUUAAGCAUGUAGGCUGGUUAUCCAGGCAAAUCCGGAUAAUCAAGGCUGAGGUGUGAUGACGAGGCACUACGGUGCUGAAGUAACAAAUGCCCUGCUUCCAGGAAAAGCCUCUAAGCAUCAGGUAACAUCAAAUCGUACCCCAAACCGACACAGGUGGUCAGGUAGAGAAUACCAAGGCGCUUGAGAGAACUCGGGUGAAGGAACUAGGCAAAAUGGUG